Molecule: ribosomal RNA, 433 nt
Filed under: uncultured bacterium
Lineage: Bacteria
Description: partial 16S ribosomal RNA
Rfam family: Bacterial small subunit ribosomal RNA
Source: RNAcentral
AACGAACGCUGGCGGCAUGCCUAACACAUGCAAGUCGAACGAAACCUUCGGGUCUAGUGGCGCACGGCUGCGUAACGCGUGGGAACAUGCCCUUAGGUUCGGAAUAACUCCCCGACAGGGGUGCUAAUACCGGAUAAUAUCUUAGGACCGAAGAUUUAUCGCGUUGGUUUGUGCCCGCGUUGGAUUCGGUAGUUGGUAGGGUAAUAGCAUACCAAGGCGACGAUUCAUAGCUGGGCUGAGAGGAAGAUCAGCCACACUGGGACUGGGCCACGGCCCAGACUCCUACGGGAGGCGGCAGUGGGGAAUAUUGGACCACCGGGGAAAGCAUGAUCCAGCAAUGACGCGUGAGUUCUGAAGGCCUUAGGGUUGUAAUGCUCUUUUAACCGGGAUGAUAAUGACAGUACCGGGAGAAUAAGCUCCGGCUAACUCCGUG